AGCUCCAAUAGCGUAUACUAAUGUUGUUGCAGUUAAAAAGCUCGUAGUCGGAUUUCAGUAUUAGGCCCUUCUUCCAAUACGGUUGCUUGUGGUCUUUACUUCCUUAACAGAAUCUUUCAUCUCAUUAAUUUGGGGUGUUUGGGGCCUGUUUCUUUUACUUUGAGAAAAUUAGAGUGUUCAAAGCGGGUUUUCGCCUGGAUAUUACUCUUGGAAUAAUAAUAUAGGACUUUGGUUCUUUUUUGUUGGUGACUUAGAACCGAAGUAAUGAUUGAUAGGGACAGUUGGGGUCAUUCGUACUAUGAAGCGAGAGGUGAAAUUCUUGGACCUUUGUAUGACGAACUACUGCGAAAGCAUUUGACUAGGAUGUUCCCG
Molecule: ribosomal RNA, 372 nt
Filed under: uncultured eukaryote
Lineage: Eukaryota
Description: SSU rRNA
Rfam family: Eukaryotic small subunit ribosomal RNA
Source: RNAcentral